ACAGCAGCAGCCACGGGAAUACGGAGGGGGCUGGCGUUGUUCGGAAUUACUGGGCGUAAAGCGCACGUAGGCGGCUUGGUAAGUUAGAGGUGAAAGCCCGGAGCUCAACUCCGGAAUUGCCUUUAAGACUGCCGAGCUAGUAGGUGAGAGAGGUAAGUGGAAUUCCGAGUGUAGAGGUGAAAUUCGUAGAUAUUCGGAAGAACACCAGUGGCGAAGGCGGCUUACUGGCUCAUUCUAGACGCUGAGGUGCGAAAGCGUGGGGAGCAAACAGGAUUAGAUACCCCAGUAGUCCCUGUCUCUUAUAA
RNAcentral lists this ribosomal RNA (305 nucleotides) under uncultured bacterium. RNAcentral's name for it is "partial 16S ribosomal RNA". It matches the Rfam family "Bacterial small subunit ribosomal RNA", at positions 506 to 809 of the family's 1533-position model. The record is from RNAcentral.